RNAcentral lists this long non-coding RNA (989 nucleotides) under Equus asinus (donkey). RNAcentral's name for it is "lncRNA (ENSEASG00005029461.1)". Lineage: Eukaryota; Metazoa; Chordata; Mammalia; Perissodactyla; Equidae. The record is from RNAcentral.
GCUGGAGCCACCUGGCUGGCCCUUUCAGGAUUUGUGGCCUUGAGCUGGGCCCUGGUGCUGGAGGUCGGGGAAGUGGAAGGAAGACGGUCUGGCCAGAGAAUGAAAGAACCAUAGGUUCCCUGGGAGCUGUACUUAGGGGACAGUAUGCCCCCGAGAGGCAGUAACCAGUAGUAGUCUUCAGAUGCCUCGAGCUCAGGGACGAACUCUCUUCUCCUGACCCCUCCGGGCUAGCUGCUCAGGGUAGACCCACUCUCUUCCGGAAGGUGGGGGAUGACAGUGAGGGAAUCACUUGCCGUUUGCUUGGCCCAAGGCUCAGACUCUCAGGGUUGACUUUUAAGUUAGUUUCAUAUGAGCUGAGGGGCCUACUUUCAAAAAGGAAGCACCAGACCAUUGGCCUCAACAUUUGAGCAGGAAACAUCAGAGUAGAAAGGGAUUUUGAAAACAGUGUAAAGUUACCUUGAGAAACCAUUCAUUUCAGUACAUUUGUCAGAGGAUACUUUGCUGGUCUUUCAACCCUUAAUGAUCCACGGUGAGAGUUUCAUGGAGUAUGCAAGACAUUGCUCUCCAAGCUGAGUGAAAUUCCAGCUGUGGCCCCUGGAAGCCAUGUGGAGAUGUGGGUGCAUUCCUUCAGCUACAGGCACAGAAGCCAGUUCACUUGGCCACUGAAGGUCCUGUUUCCGUGUGAUGUGGAGCCUGAUGAAUAUGUGGCCUCCCCUCUAGGAAUACGCCUGGGCUGCCUUUGCACACACUUACUUCAGCUGGCCUUGAACUCAAAGAUAAUCGCUUCUGUAACAAGUGAAUCACAGCCUCUCCUCCCUGUGCAAACAAGAGAACUAGCUUUAACUGCCUGAUCAAAUGUUUUUGAAAGAGUAAACCCAGGAAGGAGAUUUGAGAAACAAGCAGCCAAGACUAGAGUUUUCACUUUGCAGAGGACAUCGAGUGGAGGUCUGCGUUCUGGGAGGUUUCAACUGAUGGAAAGACAGUGGCCC